This 1548-nucleotide long non-coding RNA is filed under the name Lynx pardinus (Iberian lynx). The record is from RNAcentral. Lineage: Eukaryota; Metazoa; Chordata; Mammalia; Carnivora; Felidae.
UUGUAAGAAUUUAAUUCUUCCUUUAAUAUAAAUAAGGCAGCAUGAAACACCGAGAGCCCUGCUGCUCUCUGCUUCAGAAGCAGCUUUGCUGCAUAAAGACCCCCAUUUCCCCGCUGAGUUGGCAUCUCUGAAUAAACAAGAGGCCAGAAGGUUAUUUUUCAGUGAACUUUCUUCUGGGAGCCAAGGGAGGUUCAGGCUUGGUCCUGGCUUCUGGAGGCUGGUUCCUGGCUGUGGGGUCUCCAAGCACAAUAAGAUACAGAUGAAGGAGGGGGGAAUGCAAGGCACGGGCAAUAAUAAAUAUGGAAAUUCAACCCGACUCUGUAAACAAGUCCCAGCUGAAUGGGGGGCCUGGGGCUACUGUUGGGGGCCACGUGGGCACGCCCCUUCCCUGCAGCCCCAGCCGCCAGUCUGUGCAGUCUGACUCCGGCUCACACGGAAGGGUUCCUACAGGUUUCAGUGUUCCAUCACAGCCCAGCCUGCUGCGAGUAAACCCUGGCAGGCAAACCGGUUGUCCAUCUUCCAGAGCCCCUGGGGCCAGGUGAGAGGACCUCUGGGGUCAGGACGGGAUCCUCUGCAGCUCAUGGUGAGCCUGACAGCCUGGUGGACCGGGUAGGCUGUUCAGUAGGCGUGGCCGGCUUAAACCCUGGAGGGGAACCCAGGUGCUGGUGCAGGCGCCCUCAUUCUUGCCUCCCCCUCGGCUUGCUGUAAGGGUUACUGAGGCAAUGCCAUGAGAGGAACUCCCAAAGGGCCAGUGAAGCCACAAGUGGAGGAGGAGUGGCUUCCCAACCCCCCUAAACAGGCCUGGAGACAGGCCAGCGCCCACCACAGGCCCUGGCACCUGCCCAGUGACCGGGGCCCCCGGCCGCACUGAGGUGACCUCUCUGGGGUUUGGGGGCUGGGUCUGCACUACCAUCCCUGUGUGCUCCCAGUCAGCUGAGCCUCUCCGGGUCUUGGUCAUCUGUGUGGCUGGCAAGGCCCCUUCCAGAAAAGAGGGUUCUGUGCAGUGAGGGAGACCCACUAGAGAGAGCAAGUCUUGGGGCCAACAGAUGGAGCUGGGUCUCCCCUGGCCUCCAGGCGCUCCUGCUUUGGGACCGACACCCUGCUGAAGAAAACUCAGGGCUACAGCAUCUGUCACUUCUCAGCUCUGCAACUUUCCUAAACCGGGCAUCAGAGGCCAGGCUGCGAACCAGACCAGAGUACCCUGGGUGUAGGUGCUAUCCUUUAUCCCACUCACCCUGUGUCUCUUGGAGCUUCCACCUUCGGUAUCUGCCCUCCCCCACCAUGUAGAUACCGGCUGUGGAGAGAAUACAGAGGGGUGAGGGGCCGUGGAGCUUGUACCCUGCACGGUGUGUGGCACCCACAGAGUUCGGCACACUGGGGGAAGGGGUAGGGUGAGGGGGUGCACCCUGAGACGUGUAGCUGAAAAAGCGGCCACAUGAAACUUCUCUCUGCCACCAAGUACCCACUUCUGUGCAACAGAGACACUGGCCUCUUGGGGCCUCGAAUCUCUACCUGGUCUUUUUUCCAAAUAGCUUAAAAAAUGGCAGC